RNAcentral lists this long non-coding RNA (1115 nucleotides) under Equus caballus (horse). RNAcentral describes it as "lncRNA (ENSECAG00000045157.1)". Lineage: Eukaryota; Metazoa; Chordata; Mammalia; Perissodactyla; Equidae. The record is from RNAcentral.
UUACAAGGCAUGCCAAAAGGCAGAAAACACAAUUAGAAGAGACAGUGCAAGCAUCAGAACCAGACAUGGCAGGGAUGUUGGAAUUACCAGGUUGGGAAUUUAAAAUAAUUAUAAUUAAUAUGCUGAGGGCUCCACUGGAUGAAGCAGCGUGUAAGAACAGAUGGACAAUAUAAGCAAAGAGAUGGAAAUUCUAAGAAAGAACCAAAAAGGAAUGCCAGAGAGAAAAAAAACUGUAAUCGAAAUGAUGAAUGACUUUGAUGGGUUACUUAGUAGAGUGGACACAGCUGAGGAAAGAAUCUCUGAACUAGAGGAUAUAUCAACAGAAAAGCAAAGGGAACAAAGAUUGAAAAGCAGCAUAGAACAUCCAAGGCCUGGGGGGCAACUACAAAAGCUGUAAAAUAUAUGUAAUGAGAAUACCAGAGGAAGAGAGAGACAGGAACAGAAGAAGUAUUUGAAACAACAGUGACUGAGAAUUUUCUCCUAAAUUAAUGCCAGACGCCAAACCAUAGAUCAAGGAAGCUCAGAGAACAUAAAGCGGAAUAAAUGCCCAAAACUACAUUUAAUCAUAUCAUUUCAACCUACAGAAAAUCAAAGAGAAAAGUCCUAAAGAAGCUGCAGGAAAAAAACACCUUACCUAUGGAGGAAGAAAGAUAAGAAUAACAUCUAACUUCUUCUCAGAAACCAUGCAAAUAAGAAGAGUGGAGUGAAAUAUUCAACAGUGUUGAGAGAAAAAACCCCACCAAUCUAGAAUUCCAUGAAAUUAUCCUUCGAAAGUGAACGAGAAAUAGAGACUUUCUCAGACAAACAAAAACUGAGGGCAUUUGUUGCCUGUAGACCUACCUUGCAAGAAACGUCAAUUUUUUUAGAGAGAAGAAAAAUAGUAUGUCGGGAACUCAGAUCUACAUAAAGUGAGGAAGAGCACUGAAGAAGGAAUAUGCGAAGGCCCACAGCAUGUAAGGAAGAUACAAGAAGGGAAGACCCAGUGUUUCUGAGCCAUUCCUUACCAGGAACAGUCAUCUGAAUAUGACGCCACAGAUCAUAAUCGGUGAGGAAAAGGCUUCAUUCCUUCCACAUUCCCUGUUUAUUGAGCACAACUAUGUGCCUGGCUCUUUCUG